GUACAUUUCAAGGCCACUUACAUAUACUAAAAUUGAAACGAUACAGAGAAAAUUAGCCUGGCCUCUCCGCAAGGGUGACACGCAAAAUUGUGAAGCGUUCUACGUUUUU
Molecule: small nuclear RNA, 109 nt
Organism: Anoplophora glabripennis (Asian longhorned beetle)
Lineage: Eukaryota; Metazoa; Arthropoda; Insecta; Coleoptera; Cerambycidae
Source: RefSeq, a predicted model, not a curated record